Chinchilla lanigera (long-tailed chinchilla) is the source of this 3671-nucleotide long non-coding RNA. RefSeq lists it as uncharacterized. The record is from RefSeq and is a predicted model, not a curated record. The transcript is spliced from 5 exons. NCBI's taxonomy places the organism in Eukaryota, Metazoa, Chordata, Mammalia, Rodentia, Chinchillidae.
AUCACGUCGCUCCGCCUCCGUCCUCUCCCGCCCCGAAGGGGGCGUGGCUUUCUGACGGCGUCCCUCAUCUCCCAGGAAACGCAGGUCUGGUCUGAUCUUGGACUUAGAGGAUUCCUGGGCCCACUCCAGAGCUGACCAAUGGGCGUUUUCGAGUCGGCAAGCACGUCUAAGUGCUCACUGCUGUUUGGAAACCACGGACCUGUACGGGUCCCCAGAGGGCCUCAGUCCUGGGUCUGGGGAUCCGCGCCGCAUUUGACUGCCUGCACUGGGCUCUCAAGGCCUAUAUGGAGUGUGGGGGUGCGGGUCCAAGCUAAGUUGUACACAGCGCCUGGAAUUUACAGAAGGAACCAACUGGGCUUGGCAACUUCCCACAUCCAAAAAUCUCCACCCCACAGAAGUCAUCCUCAGAACACCCCAUCUAAUGGGAACUGGAAGAUGAGUAGCACAGCUAUGGGGAGGAGAACGUAAGUUCAGGUGCGGAGAUGUGUCGAGCGGAAGAUGUGGGCAGCACGUGUGGAUGGCCGUGUCAGCCGCUGUGUGGAAAUGCUGCCUCCUGCUCCACAACGCCUUCUUCAUUCCAUGAGAGCAGGUCCUUCCCAGCAAUCACCAAGUGCCAGUGGGACUUGCCCACUGAGAAGCAGAAGGGAGGGAACCGAGGGCAACCCAGGGCCCUACUAACUGGUCGCACGCAACAGUCUGGGCAGCAUUUCCAGCGGGGGCUGUGGUGUGGCUGCAAGGGGUCCCAGAGUAGGUAAGAGCGCCCAGGGUGGCUGGAGGACCAAAUACAUGCUACUGUUGCUCACAUUAGGGGUACUGUGAGAGCAACAAAAUACGCAUUCACUACAGAACAGCCACCUCCUCUAGGUACAACCUCUGCCCAAGCCAUGAAUGCUGUCAAGUUGGUCCACGUUUUCUUGACAUUAGGAAAACAUCAUUCCACCUGGAAACCUGCGCCUAAAAUGAGUGGCAGAGAGAGCAGCUCUCCAAAACAAAGAUUUUAUUUGGAAAUGACAGGAGACCGUGAUCCCUGAUCCGAAUGCUGUGGUGGGCCAUGGUGGACAAGGGUAUUUAAACAGAAAACAAGAAAGAUCACGUCAGGUGUUUGGAAGUGCUUAGUCGGGCAUGGUGGACAUGCCUGUAAUCCCAGCACUCACGAAGCUGAGGCAGGAGGAUGGUUGCGAGUUCAAGACCAGCCUGGGCUACAAGCUUUCAGGAAAUCAUUCCAGUCCACCGCAGGAGAGGGGGAGACAGGACACUUUCUAAGCAGACCCGGGAGGGCAAGCCAGAGACGGCCUUGUAGCCACUGGAGAGAAACAGGAGGACUGGUAUGCUGCUGUGGCACUGGAAUGGGAGGAUGGGAAGCAAGAUGAAAUUCCCUGUACACUGAUCAGCUUCCAGCUGCACUGGCUACACUGCAAAUACUUGGUAACCACAAGCAUCUUCUUAGACCAUGCAGACGGAACAGUUCCAGCCUGCCAGCAAGUCCUACAGAACGGUGCUAUCCACAGACCCCAAAAGCUGCCUGCAGGAGACCAGAAUGUGUGGCUCCGAGGCAUGCAUGCGUGGCAUACUUUGAGCUGGUUUCUCUCAGAGCAUGUAGAAGCAGCUCUGCAGAGAUGUCUCCGUAAAAGAAAGUGGUAUCUGCAAAGGAAACUUCCCAUUCAUGAAGCACCUGUGUCAGGUGAGAUGGCUCCAUUCAACACUGGCCUCCUGAGACUUUCUCAGUGCAAAGAAGACAGGCUGGUCAUGACGCCACCCUCCCGUCACUUGCUGUGCCCCAGCCUGCCCCAAACCUCUCUUCUUUGCCAUAGCGCUGCACACUACAUAAUCUUUCAUCUUUUGAACCUUCUCCGACUGCGUGAACAUCUGUAAUUAAAUGUGGAUCUUCUCCUGUUCAUCAGCAGAGUGUCCAUUCACUUCCUAGACUGGACGAAACCUCAGAGGGGAGAGGGAAAGUUUUCUGCACUCUGCAAGACUGUUCCGGGGAGAGCAUCGGAACCAUGGACUAAGCCUGGAUCUUGGUGGCUUCCUCCCCAGCCCGGCAGCCUCUGGCUGGAGGCUACUUCUCUCCACAGAGAGAGAUUCCUGGGCCCUCUGCUCUCCCCACAACCCUCCUGCCACACUCCCUGAUCUUGCCCACGUUUGCAUCCAGUGAUUUUACACAUUUCCUGGAUACCAAAGAAUAUGGUGGGGGUGGUGAUAUACUAGUCUGCUUCCCCAACCUAAUGGAACGGAACCAGAGACUUCAAACAUGGUAAUUCGGAGAAAACAUGGCAGCAAUACAUGGACGGCCUUGGGGCAGUCUGGUCUGUGGCAGGGAAGCCCUGCCUGAAGAAGGGACAUUUCUGCUGCCUCCUGAGUGAAGACCCCAGAGUGUACAUUGCAGAGAAGCAACACUCAGAAGGCAGCCUCAGGGGCAGUGAGCUUGGCAUCCGAGGAGCAGAAAGACCAUUUGCAGGCGGGGCAAGAUGGUUGGGAAAUAGGGUGCAAAGGCAGGCGGGAGCCGGGCCCCGAGGGGUGCUGGAGGUGGGAGCGGUAGGCAGGCCGAGUGGACUCAGUUCAGCUGGGGGUUUCCCACAGGGAACCGACGUGUCUCUGUGCAAGUGCAUAAGCCCAUACCCGGGUGUGGGGUCACAUGCCUGUAAUUUCAGGCCUCGCUGUGAGUUUGGGGCCAGCCUGAGCGAGAUAGCAAGAACCUGUCUCCAAACAACGGCCACAACAAAAAAAGCCCACACCAAACUGGACGCUUCCGCUUUUCCCCAAACAUGGGCUCCGGCAUUUAUGACUCUGCACUCCAAAGCCCUGAUCCUGCAUGACUGUUUGGGAUUGGGGUCCCCCCUUCCUCUGUCUGUCUCCCUUUCUGUCUCCCUCUCCCACUCCUCUCCUAUGCCCAUGAGACAUGCAGCAGAGAAGCAGCGGGUAACUUAGUCACUUCCAGGACACAGUGAAGCCUUGGGCCAGGAAGGAUCCACGGCAUGCGAUCCCAGAACCCAGAAAACUGGAGGCUUUGGAGGACUCGAGCCCACAUCUACCUGAAGCAGCAUCUGCUUGUGUGUGGGGAAGUCAUGGUGCACACCUGCCUCACGCGGCUGUGAUAGUGGACAUUACACACCCAGCUGAAUGCGGAAGCAAAAGCCCUUUGCAUCCUGAGGUCAACUGAAAUGAGCAAGAAUGCCCAACCCACCCCCAGUGCCCAAAUCAGUGAAGCCUGGCUGGUGAGCCCCAGGUCUUAGUGAAAACCUUGCCUUCCAUGGAGGUGAAUACCAACAAAUACAUGCAGAGAGGGGGCGACCUUUGCAGACAGCAGAAUGACUGAGUUUGUCCCAAGAACGGCUGUACCCUUGCACACUACUUUGUUUCGCCCUUUUCCUACUUGUACAGUCAGGUCUCCUGAAGUCAGGACACCCUUGGAAACCUUCUUUAGAAAGUUAUUUCUCUUGCUCUUCUCAGAACACCUCUGGGUCUGGCUCAUGGCCUGGGACGCUGUCGGAGAAGAGCACAGUACCUGGCCAUUGCUUCGUGGGUGAAAGGGGUGAGAGGGCAAUGGGACACACACUGGGCAUCUCAGCCAGUGAUGGGACAGAGAGUUGUCACUGCUUUGUUCAUUGUCAUGAAUUCUGUUCGUGCCUUCUUUGUUCCUCUUUCUGCUAAAUAAAGAUAUUCAUACAUAA